Molecule: ribosomal RNA, 276 nt
Filed under: uncultured prokaryote
Description: partial 16S ribosomal RNA
Rfam family: Bacterial small subunit ribosomal RNA
Source: RNAcentral
UACGUAGGGGCGAGCGUUGUCCGGAUUUACUGGGCGUAAAGGGUGAGUAGGCGGUUAUAUAUGUCAGGUGUAAAAGGCUAUGGCUUAACCAUGGUUAGCACUUGAAACUGUAUGACUUGAGUGCAGGAAAGGUAAGUGGAAUUCCUAGUGUAGCGGUGAAAUGCGUAGAUAUUAGGAGGAACACCAGUGGCGAAGGCGACUUACUGGACUGUAACUGGCGCUGAGUCACGAAAGCGUGGGUAGCAAACAGGAUUAGAUACCCCGGUAGUUCCUGAG